UGCUCGGCUGGGAUUCGAACCCAGAACUCUUGUAUGCAAGACGCUCGCUUUACCAACCAAGCUGAGU
RNAcentral lists this transfer RNA (67 nucleotides) under Aedes aegypti (yellow fever mosquito). Its description in RNAcentral is "partial tRNA-OTHER". Lineage: Eukaryota; Metazoa; Arthropoda; Insecta; Diptera; Culicidae. The record is from RNAcentral.